RNAcentral lists this non-coding RNA (102 nucleotides) under Jeongeupia sp. RNAcentral's name for it is "TPP sequence". It matches the Rfam family "TPP riboswitch aptamer (THI element)". From Rfam's summary of the family: Vitamin B(1) in its active form thiamin pyrophosphate (TPP) is an essential coenzyme that is synthesised by coupling of pyrimidine and thiazole moieties in bacteria. The previously detected thiamin-regulatory element, thi box was extended, resulting in a new, highly conserved RNA secondary structure, the THI element, which is widely distributed in eubacteria and also occurs in some archaea. Analysis of operon structures identified a large number of new candidate thiamin-regulated genes, mostly transporters, in various prokaryotic organisms. The record is from RNAcentral. Lineage: Bacteria; Pseudomonadati; Pseudomonadota; Betaproteobacteria; Neisseriales; Chitinibacteraceae.
GUAGUUCGCUAGGGGUUUCGCCCAUCCAACACGGGCGAAUGAGAGAGUCCCUCAGCACCUGAUCCGGUUCACACCGGCGUAGGGAAGCGAAUCGGUCGGUGC